GCGGCCAGCGGCCAUCGGUGUCACUCCGCCACUCCGGCCCCAUUCGACAGAGACAUCACCGGCAGCAGGUUAAUAAUGGCGCUUCGCGCGGCGGAGCUCCGGCGACUCCUCCUCCUCCGCGGCGGGGCGGUCCUCCCGCUCCCGCUCGCGUCGCGCUGCCGGCCGGCGAGCACGGCCGCCCGUGACGACGAGGGAGCAGGGGGCAACGCCUACGACGUGCUCGGGGUGGGAGAGACGAGCUCCUCCGCGGAGAUCAAGGCCUCCUUCCACCGCCUCGCGAAGGAGACCCACCCCGACGUCGCUGCCGCCGCCGGUUCCCGCCGGUUCCUUCAGAUCCUCGCGGCCUACGAGAUCCUAUCCGAUUCCCAGCGAAGGGCGCACUAUGACAGCUUCCUGCGCUCGCAGAGGCUAGUUAUACAGAAGCAUCCCAGACCAUCGCAAUAUGUAUAUCCAUAUCCAUAUAGUUCAGGCAUUGUGAUGCCUAGAGAAAGUAAUGUUGUCGAAUGGCUUAAAUGGUACAGGCUCACUGUCGAUGACAUUGUUACAAAAAAGAGGAUUGCGACGGGUUCAGGUUAUUUUGAUAGACUUGAGAGUGAACUGUACUCUGCUGUCCAUGCUGCAUACUAUGGCCCCGAGGUAGAGUCCAUGGAUCUCCUUCCUGAUUGCUUUGAAGCCGAGGAGAGGUCUGUGUAUGAGACAUCUGAGCUAUUGCACCUUGUAUCUGGCCGUGAUCUGCUUGGUAUUGUCAGUCUAGUCGAUGGCGUCCGAGAGCUGUCUGAUGCUUGUCGUGAGAAGCUGACACAUUCCGGUUCUGCAACCUGCGGCGUUAGUCCAAAUGUUGCAGUAAACAGGGAGAAAUGUUCAAUACCUAGGCAUGCAGAUAUUCACAGGCAAGAGAAUGAGGAUAGUGACAGUAUCCCAUCAGAUGCCUACAAGGACAUUCAGUUGCAGAUAUGUGGGAGAGUAGUGGCCACUGCAAAUAGGAGGCUCAAGUGCAAUUGCAUUGACAAUUCAGACAUGGAAGAUCACAUACAUGUAUUUCUUGUUCCAAAUGAGGUGGUUGCACCUGAUGUGAUGCAAGAGCAUCUCCUCCUUGGAACAAUCACUGGGUUGGACACCAGUGGAGAGGAAGGAUCUUGCUGUGUCUAUGAUGGCCAUGGAAUAAAGACCCAUGUAAUUGUUAAGCACAGGACACUGAUGGUUAAACACAUGCACUGGUAUCAAUUUGGAGAUGAAGUUUCACCCUGCGAGUGUCGAUGUAGCAGGGCUCGGUUGCCACCCAGCAGGUUUUGGCUUUUUGAGCCACGGUGUUACAUGCAUGACACUGGUGGUUGGUACAUCGAGACAUUUGGGAGAGACAAGAAAGGGAGGACAAUCCCAUCACCAAGACAUUGGCAUGGUGUCAAUGAACAUUCUGAAAAGAGAUUGCAUCCAGCACUGUAUCUGGUGGCUCUGGCAUACAGAUCUUUAGAUCUUGAGGAUGCUCAAAGAAGAAAAUGGAGCUUUAGGAGUUUCCUAGAGCUGCAAUUGUCUCAUAUUCGUCAGUUAAGUGAAAAAAUCUUUAGUGGUAAAAAAGGAGUUGAUAUGGGAGCACCAUGAGAAACGAGCAGCAGUUUCAGGAAUUCAAUGUUCUUGUUUGACAAUAUCUUUGUGAUUUCUAAAACUUUUUGAGGCUGUUCACUAUUCUGCAUGGUUGACGUAAACCAUGCUGAUGUCUGAUGUCCGGAAUUACAAUUACAAACCGAUUUCCAUGAAAUAGAUGAUCUUACGAUGGAAAGAGCACCCGACAGUAUACAACUAAGAACCCCGAAUCGAAAAUGAUAUGUUCAAAGGUGAAAGAACUAUAAUCUAAUUUAUGUAAGCAUCUGUACCUGCCACUUUCAUAGUGCGUAAGUUAAUCUGAUUUCUAGGGACACUUUUCUGAACCUUGGUGUGAAAUUUGGUCACUUUUCCCUUCAAUCUUAAACUAGGAAAAU
RNA transcript from Triticum dicoccoides, 1976 nucleotides. RefSeq lists it as uncharacterized. Lineage: Eukaryota; Viridiplantae; Streptophyta; Magnoliopsida; Poales; Poaceae. The record is from RefSeq and is a predicted model, not a curated record. The transcript has 6 exons.